Molecule: ribosomal RNA, 253 nt
Filed under: uncultured bacterium
Lineage: Bacteria
Description: partial 16S ribosomal RNA
Rfam family: Bacterial small subunit ribosomal RNA
Source: RNAcentral
UACAGAGGGUGCGAGCGUUAAUCGGAAUUACUGGGCGUAAAGCGUGCGUAGACGGCUAUCUAAGUCGGGUGUGAAAGCCCCGGGCUCAACCUGGGAAUUGCAUUCGAGACUGAAUAGCUAGGGUACGGUAGAGGGAAGUGGAAUUUCCGGUGUAGCGGUGAAAUGCGUAGAUAUCGGGAGGAACACCGGUGGCGAAGGCGGGUCUCUGGACAGUUCCUGACGCUGAUGCACGAAGGUCAGGGGAGCAAACGGG